Molecule: ribosomal RNA, 484 nt
Filed under: uncultured bacterium
Lineage: Bacteria
Description: partial 16S ribosomal RNA
Rfam family: Bacterial small subunit ribosomal RNA
Source: RNAcentral
AUUGAACGCUGGCGGCAGGCCUAACACAUGCAAGUCGAGCGGAUGAAGGGAGCUUGCUCCUGGAUUCAGCGGCGGACGGGUGAGUAAUGCCUAGGAAUCUGCCUGGUAGUGGGGGAUAACGUCCGGAAACGGGCGCUAAUACCGCAUACGUCCUGAGGGAGAAAGUGGGGGAUCUUCGGACCUCACGCUAUCAGAUGAGCCUAGGUCGGAUUAGCUAGUUGGUGGGGUAAAGGCCUACCAAGGCGACGAUCCGUAACUGGUCUGAGAGGAGGAUCAGUCACACUGGAACUGAGACACGGUCCAGACUCCUACGGGAGGCAGCAGUGGGGAAUAUUGGACAAUGGGCGAAAGCCUGAUCCAGCCAUGCCGCGUGUGUGAAGAAGGUCUUCGGAGUGUAAAGCACUUUAAGUUUGGAGGAAGGGCAGUAAGUUAAUACCUUGCUGUUUUGACGUUACCAACAGAAUAAGCACCGGCUAACUUCGUG